This 1324-nucleotide long non-coding RNA is filed under the name Zostera marina. Its description in RNAcentral is "long non-coding RNA (ZMAR_LNC001651)". The record is from RNAcentral. Lineage: Eukaryota; Viridiplantae; Streptophyta; Magnoliopsida; Alismatales; Zosteraceae.
UUCGACUUAAGAUGCAUGAGAUGAAGUGAUAAAUGUGAAGACAGUUUGAAGAUAAAAAUAACGAUUCAGAUUUCUGUUUACUCAUGAAAAUAUUUUAAGAGAUAGAAAUCAUUCCUUGAGCCACAGAGAUAUGUAUCCUUUAAAAUGAUAGCAUGCACAUGACUUAUGAACAUAGUAUGUCUAGAUGAUGCAUGCAUGCAGUUGAUGAUGGCAAGUAGUUUGAGGAUCAGUCAUGUAAAGGAAAAUAGAUUAAUUGGCAUAAAAAGAGAUAUUUAUGUUUUGAGAUCCUAGAUAUACCAGAUCUGUGUUGACACAGAGACCAAAAGAUUUAGAGAUCGUGGACGACGGAGGAUGUUGAGACAGCGUCCCUUUCCUUUGAUGAUUUGCAAAACCUAGCAGCGACACAGCUUCAGCGACUUGAUUAGGACUCCACCACAUGUGACUCUGAUACCAUGAAAAGAGUCUUGAGUAGAGACAACGGCGACAGCGAGACCCAAGGUCGAGAAGAGUUGGUGAAAGGGUUUUGGAGAAGUGAAGAGUCGCGACGCUUGAGUUGGGGGAAAACCCGUUUUUUAGGGUUUUAGAUUAAGUAAAAAAGUUAAUAAAGAUUAUUACAAAAGAAUUAUUUAUACUUCAGAUCAAACUAACCUAUGGGCCUUGAGUUAUGGGCUUUGAACUAUCUAUCUAAACUAAAUAGAAGAUAAAUAUAUAAGAGCUUCAAUAAACUUCAAUAACUCCCAACAAUAACAAUUUUAACAUCAACAAUGAAAAUUGGGCUCAACACCAACAAUGACAAUCUCACAAAUCACAACCAACAAUGAUAAUCUCACAACCACCACCUGCAAUGGUAAUCUCACCACCUGCAAUGACAAUAUUCACCUACAUUAAUAACUAUUGAUCAUUUCAUUUUCUAUGAUCAUUUAAUUCUAUGGUGCAAAUAAUAGUCAAUAUGCAAAUAAUAGUCAAAAUCUGUUUAUCUUCUUUAAUUUCCUUUAUCAUUUGAGAUUGCAUCCUUUAGGGUUACUAAAAAAUAAAAAAUAGAGAUGACAAAUUUUUGUUAAAAUCUAAGGUUAAAAAAAGAAUGGAAGAGAUGAGAAGAAAAAUAAAAAAAAUUAAGGAAUGAAAAAAUUAUAUCAAGAAUUGAAGAAAUUGAAGAAUAGAUGAGAAGAUCAAAAGAUACCUCGAGAAUGAAAGAAUGAAGCUUGUUGGAUGCUCGUUGGAGUUGUUUGAGGUGACCCGAAGUCCUAUAAUUUAGGGUUAGGGAAAGGAAAAUAAAAAGGAGAAAUCGUGAGAUCUAACGGAGAAAUUUCGAUAUGGGUAUUUG